RNAcentral lists this unclassified non-coding RNA (336 nucleotides) under soil metagenome. Its description in RNAcentral is "partial contains 5.8S ribosomal RNA, internal transcribed spacer 2, and large subunit ribosomal RNA". The stretch from base 1 to 120 matches the Rfam family "5.8S ribosomal RNA", at positions 35 to 154 of the family's 154-position model. The record is from RNAcentral.
GAUGAAGAACGUAGCGAAAUGCGAUAAGUAAUGUGAAUUGCAGAAUUCAGUGAAUCAUCGAAUCUUUGAACGCACAUUGCGCCCGCCAGUAUUCUGGCGGGCAUGCCUGUUCGAGCGUCAUUUCAACCAUCAAGCCCCAGGCUUGUGUUGGGGACCUGCGGCUGCCGCAGGCCCUGAAAACCAGUGGCGGGCUCGCUGUCACACCGGGCGUAGUAGAUUUUAUCUCGCUCAGGGCGUGCUGCGGGUUCCGGCCGUUAAACCACCUUCAUAACCCAAGGUUGACCUCGGAUCAGGUAGGAAGACCCGCUGAACUUAAGCAUAUCAAUAAGCGGAGGA